GAAACGACUGAUAAGACUGGAUAGGAGACAAGAGGGCAUCUUCUUGUUUUUAAAAGAUCUAGCAAUAGGUAUGCUUAGGGAGGAGCUUGCGUCUCAUUAGUUAGUUGGUGGGGUAAAGGCCUACCAAGACUAUGAUGUGUAGCCGGGCUGAGAGGUUGAACGGCCACAUUGGGACUGAGACACGGCCCAAACUCCUACGGGAGGCAGCAGUAGGGAAUUUUCGGCAAUGGAGGAAACUCUGACCGAGCAACGCCGCGUGAACGAUGAAGUAUUUCGGUACGUAAAGUUCCUUUAUUAGGGAAGAAUAAAUGAUGGAAAAAUCAUUCUGACGGUACCUAAUGAAUAAGCCCCGGCUAACUAUGUGCCAGCAGCCGCGGUAAUACAUAGGGGGCAAGCGUUAUCCGGAAUUAUUGGGCGUAAAGGGUGCGUAGGCGGUUAAAUAAGUUUAUGGUCUAAGUGCAAUGCUCAACAUUGUGAUGCUAUAAAAACUGUUUAGCUAGAGUAAGAUAGAGGCAAGUGGAAUUCCAUGUGUAGUGGUAAAAUGCGUAAAUAUAUGGAGGAACACCAGUAGCGAAGGCGGCUUGCUGGGUCUUUACUGACGCUGAGGCACGAAAGCGUGGGGAGCAAACAGGAUUAGAUACCCUGGUAGUCCACGCCGUAAACGAUGAGUACUAAACGUUGGGUAAAACCAGUGUUGAAGUUAACACAUUAAGUACUCCGCCUGAGUAGUACGUACGCAAGUAUGAAACUUAAAGGAAUUGACGGGACUCCGCACAAGCGGUGGAUCAUGUUGUUUAAUUCGAAGGUACCCGAAAAACCUCACCAGGUCUUGACAUGCUUCUGCAAAGCUGUAGAAACACAGUGGAGGUUAUCAGUUGCACAGGUGGUGCGUGGUUGUCGUCAGCUCGUGUCGUGAGAUGUUGGGUUAAGUCCCGCAACGAGCGCAACCCUUAUUGUUAGUUACCAGCACGUAAUGGUGGGGACUUUAGCAAGACUGCCAGUGAUAAAUUGGAGGAAGGUGGGGACGACGUCAAAUCAUCAUGCCCCUUAUGACCUGGGCUACAAACGUGAUACAAUGGCUGUUACAAAGGGUAGCUGAAGCGCAAGUUUUUGGCGAAUCUCAAAAAAACAGUCUCAGUUCGGAUUGAAGUCUGCAACUCGACUUCAUGGAGUUGGAAUCGCUAGUAAUCGCGAAUCAGCAUGUCGCGGUGAAUACGUUCUCGGGGUUUGUACACACGGCCCGUC
This 1245-nucleotide ribosomal RNA is filed under the name 'Cyrtostachys renda' lipstick yellow frond disease phytoplasma. Its description in RNAcentral is "bacterial SSU rRNA". It matches the Rfam family "Bacterial small subunit ribosomal RNA", at positions 153 to 1398 of the family's 1533-position model. The record is from RNAcentral. Lineage: Bacteria; Bacillati; Mycoplasmatota; Mollicutes; Acholeplasmatales; Acholeplasmataceae.